This 362-nucleotide ribosomal RNA is filed under the name uncultured bacterium. Its description in RNAcentral is "bacterial SSU rRNA". It matches the Rfam family "Bacterial small subunit ribosomal RNA", at positions 29 to 416 of the family's 1533-position model. The record is from RNAcentral.
AAUGAACGCUGGCGGCAUGCCUAACACAUGCAAGUCGAACGAGACCUUCGGGUCUAGUGGCGCACGGGUGCGUAACGCGUGGGAAUCUGCCCUUGGGUUUCGGGAAUAACAGUUAGAAAUGACUGCUAAUACCGAAUGAUGUCGUAAGACCAAAGAUUUAUCGCCCAGGGAUGAGCCCGCGUAAGAUUAGGUAGUUGGUGUGGUAAAGGCGCACCAAGCCGACGAUCUUUAGCUGGUCUGAGAGGAUGAUCAGCCACACUGGGACUGAGACACGGCCCAGACUCCUACGGGAGGCAGCAGUGGGGAAUAUUGGACAAUGGGCGAAAGCCUGAUCCAGCCAUGCCGCGUGUGUGAAGAAGGCC